AACCCAUAAAUUUUAAGUAAAAUUAAGUAUAUAAGUUUGUAUUUUAAUACUGAUUAUAUUAAUUCUUAGAACAAAUAUGACAAUAUGGAGUAUUGGUGUAGUGGAAGAAUGCAUAUACAUCAACCAUCAGGUCCCAAGUUCGAAUCUGAACAAGGCCAUAGGGAGUUUUAUUUUUUUUUUUCUGCCACUGUAGGAAAUUACCAAAUUAUCCUCAUCCUGAUCAGAUUUUUUUUUCUCUCUCUCUCUUUUAUUCUUGUCUUCUUCGAGUCUUCUAGAGCAGAGGCAGAGUUAAGAGUCCGCACCAAACCCUUGCACUGCCUCUCAUCGAUCUCCGCACCCUCCUUCUCAACCACUGGCUACGUCGCUGUUCGUGUGGGUCGCUAUCAUCGGUGGCUUAUCGCUGUUCUUCUGCCACUGCUGCGAAUUCUUCCCCUGUCUCACAGUCGUUCCUCUGUCUCUGUCAUUGUUUCAAGUAUGCUGAAUCUCUUUCUUUUUCCUUGUUGCUUCGUUGUGUGCAAAGGCUUGGGUGAGCUGAGAUUUAUUUUGCUUCUUGUUCAUUUUAUUAUCAUCGGUAUGCUCAUCCGUUCUUCAUUAACUGUGACAGUCCUUCCGUCUUCACUGUUCGAAGUGCCUCCUCCUUUCUUGUUCGUGUGCUGUUGGUCUGUCUAAGGGUAUUUGGAGGAGGAGAAAUUGGAACGACGGUUAGAGGUGAAUUUGUAAAUUCCCAAAAUUUCAGAUUUGUUAGCUAACGCUGAUCCUACCAACGACCUCUGAAGGGCAAUAUAGCUACAUUGGGUGGAAAUUUUGUUUGGUACUGUCACUUUUUGAUAUAAAUCUUUAAGUCGUAUGUAUUUUAAUUUAAAAGAAAGAUUAGCUGCUCCACAUAGAUUGUUGUUAGGAUUUUAUUUUGAUUUACAUGCUGUUGUUGGCUGGAAGGAGCUAAGCUCCUGAUUGAUACUAUUUUCAAGAAAAUUUUGUUUUAGAAUUUUCAGAAGAUCGUAUUUACAGAGGAGGUGCUAUCAAAAUUUAAAAAAAAAAUGUUGAAGUCUGGUUAUGACAAUCAAUAUUAAAAGUGUUAGAAUUUCUAUAUAAUUUGAUUAUUUUUAAAAUGGAAGGAAUUUUUAUUUUAAGGCUUACGGGAAUGCAUGAUGUAGUUCGCACCCGUGCCAGUCACCCUCUAUUUUCGAGGC
This is a long non-coding RNA of Prosopis cineraria, 1190 nucleotides long. RefSeq lists it as uncharacterized. The record is from RefSeq and is a predicted model, not a curated record. The transcript is spliced from 3 exons. NCBI's taxonomy places the organism in Eukaryota, Viridiplantae, Streptophyta, Magnoliopsida, Fabales, Fabaceae.